This 864-nucleotide ribosomal RNA is filed under the name uncultured Neocallimastigales. Its description in RNAcentral is "partial large subunit ribosomal RNA". It matches the Rfam family "Eukaryotic large subunit ribosomal RNA", at positions 26 to 645 of the family's 3401-position model. Lineage: Eukaryota; Fungi; Neocallimastigomycota; Neocallimastigomycetes; Neocallimastigales. The record is from RNAcentral.
CGUCUAUAUACGUAUAGCAUAUCAAUAAGCGGAGGAAAAGAAACUAACUAGGAUUCCCUCAGUAACGGCGAGUGAAGCGGGAAGAGCUCAAAUUUGAAAUCUUCAAGGUUCUACCUUGACGAAUUGUAGUUUAAAGAAGUGUUUUCUGUUGAAGUUUCGGUAAAAGUUCUUUGGAAUAGGACAUCAUAGAGGGUGAGAAUCCCGUAUUUGACCAUUAUCUCCAGCUUUGUGAUACACUUUCAAAGAGUCGGAUUGUUUGGGAAUGCAGUCCAAAAUGGGUGGUAAAUUUCAUCUAAAGCUAAAUACUGGCGAGAGACCGAUAGCGAACAAGUACCGUGAGGGAAAGAUGAAAAGAACUUUGAAAAGAGAGUUAAACAGUACGUGAAAUUGUCAAAAGGGAAGCGUUUGACACCAGUGUUGUUUUCUCGAAAAUCAAUUAAAAAAGGCCGGAUUUUGUGUUGUAUUGACUUUAUCAGCUUUCUGCACUCUUUUCUUGUCUUUUUUAAUGCACUUUUCGUUUAACAAGUCAACAUCAAUUUCUUUUGUUGUAAAAGGGUCAUUGGAAGGUGGCUUUCUUUUCGGAGAAAGUGUUUAUAGCCUUUGGCCUCUGCAAUCGGAGAGAUUGAGGUCUGCAGCGUAGAUCCUUCGGGGUUAGAUACAUUUGUGCUAAGUUAUAGCCUUUCAUAGACAACUUGUUGACUAUGAUCAGUCAUGUAGCUUACUCGCUUAUGCUAUUUUACCUACGCUUAGGAUGUUGAAGUCAUCGUAUCGCGCGUGCUUGAUCUAUACAUGACUCUGUGCAUAUCAAUAAGCGGAGGAAAAGUCAAUACCUACGCUUAGGAUGUUGAAGUCAUCGUAUCGCGC